RNAcentral lists this ribosomal RNA (512 nucleotides) under Mycobacterium sp. N535C. Its description in RNAcentral is "bacterial SSU rRNA". It matches the Rfam family "Bacterial small subunit ribosomal RNA", at positions 1 to 522 of the family's 1533-position model. Lineage: Bacteria; Bacillati; Actinomycetota; Actinomycetes; Mycobacteriales; Mycobacteriaceae. The record is from RNAcentral.
UGGAGAGUUUGAUCCUGGCUCAGGACGAACGCUGGCGGCGUGCUUAACACAUGCAAGUCGAACGGAAAGGCCCCUUCGGGGGUACUCGAGUGGCGAACGGGUGAGUAACACGUGGGCAAUCUGCCCUGCACUUCGGGAUAAGCCUGGGAAACUGGGUCUAAUACCGGAUAGGACCACUUGGCGCAUGCCUUGUGGUGGAAAGCUUUUGCGGUGUGGGAUGGGCCCGCGGCCUAUCAGCUUGUUGGUGGGGUGAUGGCCUACCAAGGCGACGACGGGUAGCCGGCCUGAGAGGGUGUCCGGCCACACUGGGACUGAGAUACGGCCCAGACUCCUACGGGAGGCAGCAGUGGGGAAUAUUGCACAAUGGGCGCAAGCCUGAUGCAGCGACGCCGCGUGGGGGAUGACGGCCUUCGGGUUGUAAACCUCUUUCACCAUCGACGAAGGCUCACUUCGUGAGUUGACGGUAGGUGGGAGAAGAAGCACCGGCCAACUACGUGCCAGCAGCCGCGGUA